This 433-nucleotide ribosomal RNA is filed under the name uncultured bacterium. Its description in RNAcentral is "partial 16S ribosomal RNA". It matches the Rfam family "Bacterial small subunit ribosomal RNA", at positions 29 to 507 of the family's 1533-position model. The record is from RNAcentral.
AACGAACGCUGGCGGCAUGCCUAACACAUGCAAGUCGAACGAGACCUUCGGGUCUAGUGGCGCACGGGUGCGUAACGCGUGGGAACCUGCCCUUAGGUUCGGAAUAACUCCCCGAAAGGGGUGCUAAUACCGGAUAAUGUCUUCGGACCAAAGAUUUAUCGCCUUUGGAUGGGCCCGCGUUGGAUUAGCUAGUUGGUAGGGUAAAAGCCUACCAAGGCGACGAUCCAUAGCUGGUCUGAGAGGAUGAUCAGCCACACUGGGACUGAGACACGGCCCAGACUCCUACGCGAGGCAGCAGUGGGGAAUAUUGUACAAUGGGCGAAAGCCUGAUCCAGCAAUGCCGCGUGGGUGAUAAAGGCCUUAGGGUUGUAAAGCCCUUUUACCCGGGAUGAUAAUGACAGACCCGGAAGAAUAAGCUCCGGCUAACUCCGUG